CCAAGAUUGUGCUGCUGCACUCCAGCCUAGGUGACAGAGGAGACUGUCUAAAAAAAAGAAAGAAAAAAUGCUACCUCUUGUGAAACCAUUCCUGGCCUGUUUCCAAAUAGGUUUAGUUACUGCCCACCCCCAACCUUCUUACAACGUGGUCACUAUUUCUAUCACUGUCUCUCUAGACAAUGAGUUCAUUUUAAGAGCCUCAUUAUUUACCUCUGUCUACAAAGUCCAUUGGAUGCCUGGCACAUAUUGGGUGCUCGGGUUUGCUUAAUCAGCAAAUGCUCCUAACAGUAUGUUAAGAGCGUGGGGCUAUGAAGUCAUGCCCCAUUCCCCUCAUGGCUUUGUCUUCAGUCCUCCCAGUCUCAAGAUUCUGUCCCCCAUCAGAUCUACAUCUGCCUCCAAAAUGUGCCUACCUUCCUUUUUUGGGAAGGAGUUUCCCUUGGACUUUCACUAGUGUCUAUGUGACAGGGCCUUUGGUUUGUCCCAAACAUGCUCCUUCUGGCUUUGUGGCAAUCCUUCAUUCAAGGAUUCUGGGAUCUCCUUCUUUAUUCCCUUCCUGAGUUCAUACAUGCUGAUCUGUAGGCUCUGCAAGGACACUGUUAUGGCCAACACAUAGUAGGUGCUCGUUAAAGCCAUGUUAAGUGAACACAUGAAUGGUCCCUUCUCUUCUGGGGUGUAAUGGAAUGCUCAGUAGACUUGGAAUCAGAAGACAAAGAUGCUGCCACUCUGGCCGUGGCUGUGGGCAAGCCAUUUCAAAUGUCUGAGCUUUUGCUUCCUUGCCUUUAAAUUGGGGAUAGUGCCUGUACUUCACAAGGAUACAAAGGAUGAAUGGAGAUGAAAGUGCCUAAAACACAACCAACCACAAAGCUCACGAGCAUUUCAUUCAUUCUCAGCCUCCUCCAUCAAGUGUAAAGAGGGUUCAUCUCCACGGUCAUCCUCCUUCUGCUCUUUUAAGUAUCUGGUCCAAAAUGACUUCUGCCCAGGGUCCCUUGUAGCAUGCAGGAACAGAAUGAUGUGGAAGCAAGCCAGUUUUGAAUUCUGACAGUCACUUCCAAGCUGUAGAAUUUGGACCUGUCUGCCUACCUGUAAAAGGAACAUAACAGCACCUACCUCAUAGAGUUGCUGUGAAGAUUAAAUGAGAUGUGUGUCAAGUGAAUUAGAUGACAUUCAAAAUUUGAGUGAACCUGAUGAACCUGAGUGCCCCUGAAAACCAAGUGAUCAUGCUGCCCUCUUGUGGACAAGAGGGCACAUAGCUCAGCAAAGGCACCCGCAAAGUGUUCCGGUGAGAGAAAUCAAACCACACAUAAGGAACUUCUCUCCUCUACUAGGGAGCUCAUGAACUACCCUGAAAUAUUUCAUCAUCAACUAGACAAGAAAUUUUCAGACAUUGAUGCACUUGUUAAAAUGCAGAUCAGUUCUGAUUCAAUAGGUCUGACAUGGGGACACAGUUCUCUAACGAGCUUCCAAGAGAUACUGAUGCUAUUGGCCCACAGACGGCCCUGAAUAAAGUUCCUA
RNAcentral lists this long non-coding RNA (1512 nucleotides) under Homo sapiens (human). RNAcentral describes it as "HSALNT0363758". The record is from RNAcentral. Lineage: Eukaryota; Metazoa; Chordata; Mammalia; Primates; Hominidae.